RNAcentral lists this long non-coding RNA (1312 nucleotides) under Homo sapiens (human). RNAcentral's name for it is "HSALNT0133789". Lineage: Eukaryota; Metazoa; Chordata; Mammalia; Primates; Hominidae. The record is from RNAcentral.
CAAGGAUCAAGUCUGUUUCAUUCACAGUGAUAUGUCCAGCAUCUAGCAUAGAGCUUGGCUUAUAGUAGACAUUCAAAUGCCUGUUAAAUUAAUGACUGAGUAAAUAAUUGAAUGAAUGAAACUUGAAAUACAUCUCAAGCAAAAACAUGGAGAGACUGCGGUGCCAUCUUGCCUUUGGGAAAAGUGCAGCUGCUCUAAACUACUCCUUUUUAGAUCCAUGCUUCCUCUCACCCCAUGUCCUCUGGAGUAGCCACAGGCUGAGGCAGUUUCUCUGACAAGUCCAGAAGGAAGUCUAGAAAGAAGAAGCUAUGCCAGGUGGUUAUACAGUGCUUUGAGAUCCUUUUCCUCUAGGGAACAAGUGGCUGCAUCAAUAUUCAGAGAUUUCAAGGUCAAAGAAAGCCAGCUUUGGGAAUGGAAAUGCCUGUCAGCCUUGCCUUGCUUUUUUUGCACUUUGAGACGUGAUUUCUUCUCUUCAUGAAGAUGGUCUUCAAAGGUCAUUUUGCCCGCGCUUCUCCUGGCUAAAUCAUUUAUGAAGAAGCAUAUUGUUGUUUGCCAUAGGAAUCUAACUUCCAAAUAACAGUUCUAGUCCCAUAGACCUCAAGGGACAAUUGAUGUCAUCACGUGUUUCUCUUCCACUUUUCUGCUCUUAAGAUCCAACAUUUUCCUAUGAGCCCCUGCCAUCCUAUGCUCUCUGUUUUCCUUUGUGAGCGGCAAGGACACUUCCUCCAGUUUUCAGGGGCAUCAAUUAUCUGUGCAGGAUCCACCUUUCUCAUGAGGAGCAUGCACUUUUGGCUCUUUCCUGAUCUCUUUGGAGUAGGUAUGCAUUGAGGAUGCUCUGCAAGAUGCCAAGCCCCUUUCAAACACUAUCUGUGUGAGACACAGUAUUGAACUAUCUUAAGUGAGCCAUCCAUAUACUAUUUCAUUUUUUACAAUCAUCUUAAAGGAAUGGGUUUUUAUUGCCCGAACAAAUAAUUUGUAUGACGGUAGUGAUGAUGAUAAUUAUAUUUAUUAUUCAUUGCUUGAGUGUAUGCCAUUAUGGAAGACAAUAUCUUGUGCUUGACAGAGAAAAACAAUUGAUACAUUCAUUAAUUAGGAUCCUGCUUAACCUUCUGUUAUAAAGGAUGAUAAAUUGUUUUAGGCAGAAUGUUGUGUUUUGAUAGAAGCAUAGUGGGACAAUAAAAAUAUGACUGGAUAUUUGUGUUUAUUUUUAUUUUACAUUUUUAAAUUUGCUUUAUGAUUAGGUAAUCUAGUAAGAUAGUUCAAAAAUGAAACAACAUUGGGAAAACAUAUUGGAGGCUCACCAUUAUCCUGA